GCCAGACUCCUACGGGAGGCAGCAGUGGGGAAUAUUGGGCAAUGGGCGAAAGCCUGACCCAGCGACGCCGCGUGAGGGAAGAAGGUCUUCGGAUUGUAAACCUCUUUCAGCAGGGAAGAAGAAAAUGACGGUACCUGACUAAGAAGCCCCGGCUAAAUACGUGCCAGCAGCCGCGGUAAUACGUAUGGGGCAAGCGUUAUCCGGAUUUACUGGGUGUAAAGGGAGCGUAGGCGGCCUGGCAAGCCUGAUGUGAAAUACCGGGGCCCAACCCCGGGGCUGCAUUGGGAACUGCCAGGCUGGAGUGCCGGAGAGGCAGGCGGAAUUCCUAGUGUAGCGGUGAAAUGCGUAGAUAUUAGGAGGAACACCAGUGGCGAAGGCGGCCUGCUGGACGGUGACUGACGCUGAGGCUCGAAAGCGUGGGGAGCAAACAGGAUUAGAUACCCUAGUAGG
This 450-nucleotide ribosomal RNA is filed under the name uncultured bacterium. RNAcentral describes it as "bacterial SSU rRNA". It matches the Rfam family "Bacterial small subunit ribosomal RNA", at positions 330 to 794 of the family's 1533-position model. The record is from RNAcentral.